AGGUGGAAGGGGGAAGCAGGCUAAAAAGCAGUUUUUAGGGUUUCAGAUAUGUAAUUGUGGCAGCAGGCACAGCAUCAGGGUAAAUCUUCCUUUUGACUUCCUCAGAACACCAGUUGAGAUUUAUACGCUGCUCCAGAGAACUCUGCUCUACAUUGUCAGAAACCAGCUUUCAGCUUGGGUUCCAGGAUGAAGACAUGUGGAACAGAACCCGAACUUGAACCUCAGCUUUGGCAUCCGGCUUAACCUUUGCCAAGGCCAGCCUGCAGAACCCAGCCAGGAGUAGCUAAACCACAGUCAACCUGCAAAUCCAUGAAGGAUAUACUCAGAGAAGAAUCACGAGUGCCAAGAGAGACCAUGAGGCAAACUGCUCUCCAUUGAAGGUAUACCAGCCUACCCUUCGUGAGCUAAACACAACCUCACUCUUGCCAGCAUUGUAACUGACUUUUUAAAUCUAGUAAUCUGCACUUCUUUGAUGCCAUGAAGUCAGUAUUAUUUUCAUGUCUUGGCCAUCUUAAGUUCCUGUUUUGUGAAUAUUCUAUUCCUAUUCCUUGUUAUAAAGGUUUUCAGAGUUAAGACAUGUUAAAUAGAAAUUAUUUUGGAAGGUUCUGUGAUUCAAAAUAUCAA
This 624-nucleotide long non-coding RNA is filed under the name Homo sapiens (human). Its description in RNAcentral is "long non-coding RNA NONHSAT209658.1". Lineage: Eukaryota; Metazoa; Chordata; Mammalia; Primates; Hominidae. The record is from RNAcentral.